AACCUAGCACACCUGCGGUGUGUACCUGCGGAGGGAUCAUUACCGAGUUGUCCAAACUCCCAAACCCUUUGCGAACGUACCAUGGUUGCCUCGGCGGACACGACGCCCCGGGACGGCCUGCCCUGUAGCGACCUACCCUGUAGUGACCUACCCGGCAGCGACCUACCCUGGACGCCGCCCGCCGGUGGCCUUCUGAACCCUGUUUUGUCGUGGCACUUCUGAGCGAUGUAUCGAAAUCAG
This 240-nucleotide unclassified non-coding RNA is filed under the name soil metagenome. RNAcentral's name for it is "partial contains 5.8S ribosomal RNA, internal transcribed spacer 2, and large subunit ribosomal RNA". The record is from RNAcentral.